Molecule: ribosomal RNA, 1403 nt
Filed under: Alexandrium tamarense species complex group I
Lineage: Eukaryota; Dinophyceae; Gonyaulacales; Pyrocystaceae
Description: eukaryotic LSU rRNA
Rfam family: Eukaryotic large subunit ribosomal RNA (bases 542-1403)
Source: RNAcentral
AACCUGCUGAAGGAUCAUGUGCACACGUGUGUACACUAACCUGCUAAUGAUAUUGUGGGCGGUGUAAGCUUGCAUUACAAUAAUAUUACAUGUGCCCUGGGCUGUGUGACUUGUUUUGCAAACAUUCGUUAUGCAUUGCAUAAACAAGUUUGGUAAACUGAGUGGUGCUGUGUUUGUGUACGAUGAUUAGGUUUUGCAACGAAUGUUUUAGUUCAAUACAUGAUGAAUAAUGCAGGACAAUGCAGUAUGCAUUGUGAAUUGCAGAAUUCCGUGAGCUAACAUAUGUUUGAAUGUUACUUGCGCCUUUGGGAUAUUCUUGAAGGUUUGCUUGAUUCAAUGCCAAUUACCUUCCAUAUGCAAUACUGCUGUUUAGCAUUGCUGUGAACAAAGAGAGUCAAUGUGUAUUGCAUUGAACCUGGAUGUGUUGCAGCUGCUUUGCAACCUAAACAUGGUUGAUUGGGGGCAAACUUGUUUCGUCAUGUGCUGGUUGCUGUUUUGCAAAAUGUGCACAACUGAGACAAGCUGAAGACUUGCAUAUGCUUAGCAUGAAGUGAAGCACAUACACCUGCUGAAUUUAAGCAUAUAAGUAAGUGGUGGAAAUUAAACCAAAUGGGAUAUCUUUAGUAAUUGCGAAUGAACAAGGAUAUGCUUAGCUUGACAAAUGGAGCUAUUGGCUUUGAAUUGUAUUGUGGAAAUGUAUUACCAACAGAGGUGCAUGUGCCAGCCUAUUGAAAUAAAGCGUCAAUGAGGGUGAGAAUCCUGUUUGUCAUGUGCAGCCCUUUGUGCACGGUGUAUAUUUGCUGAGUCACACUCCUUGGCAUUGGAAUGCAAAGUGGGUGGUAAGUUUCAUGUACAGGUAAACAUGCAAUUGAGACUGAUAGCACACAAGUACCAUGAGGGAAAUAUGAAAAGGACUUUGAAAAGAGAAUUAAAUGAGUUUGUAUUUGCUGAACACAAAGUAAACAGACUUGAUUUGCUUGGUGGGAGUGUUGCACUUGCUUGACAAGAGCUUUGGGCUGUGGGUGUAAUGAUUCUUUCUUUGCAUGCCAGUUUCUAUGUGUACAUCUGAUUACCUUUGCACAUGAAUGAUAAGUCUCCUGUGGGGGGUGGAUUGCAUGUGCAUGUAAUGAUUUGUGUUUUGAUAAAUGUGUCUGGUGUAUGUGUGUGUGUUCCUGUGCUUGGGGAUGCUUCCUUCCUUGGACUUACAAGCCCUGACACACACAUGCUGGCAAAAUGCUUCUGCUUGACCCGUCUUGAAACACGGACCAAGGAGUCUAACAUAUGUGCAAAGUUUUGAAGGUGGUAUACCUGUGUGUGCAAUGAUAGUGUCAGCUGGGAUAUGUGCACCAGCACCCAUUUAAUGAGCGGACUGAGGUUUGAGUUGGAGCAUAUCUAUUAGGACC